AACGGCCGUACCAUGCUGAAUAUACCGGUUCUCGUUAGAUCACCGAAGUUAAGCAUCAUUGGGCGCGGUCAGUACUUGGGUGGGUGACCACCUGGGGAACACUGCGU
Molecule: ribosomal RNA, 107 nt
Filed under: Caerostris darwini
Lineage: Eukaryota; Metazoa; Arthropoda; Arachnida; Araneae; Araneidae
Source: RNAcentral